UCGCUGUUGGUUCCGUAACAGGACCGGAGCUCUGCGAGCGAAUGACGACGCUGGGUGUUGCCACGAAUCUGGUGACUUAUCUCACCAACGAUCUGCACCUCUCCAACACCAAAGCUCCAAACAUCGUCACGAACUUCCUGGGUACUUCUUUCAUGUUGUGCCUUCUGGGAGGAUUCAUAGCCGAUACUUACAUCGGCCGGUUCUGGACCGUCGCUAUCGCUGCAACAAUCCAGUUCCUGGUAAUCUGAAGAACUACAGAGUUAGAAGCUGAAAAACAAUGAUUCGUGGUUUUUGCAGGGAAUGCUUGUUCUCACCAUUCUCACCUCACUCCCAUCACUGAGGCCUCCUCACUGCGUCCACGACUGCCCUCCCGCGAAGGCCAAGCAGCUCAGCCUGCUCUAUCUCGCGCUCUACCUCUCCGCACUGGGAACCGGCGGCAUCAAGUCCAACGUCUCUGCAUUCGGAGCCGAUCAGUUCGAUAAGAACGAGCCGAAGGAGCAGAAGCUCAUGUCUUACUUUUUCAACUGGUUCUUCGUUUCCAUCUCGGUGGGAGCUCUCUUCUCCCUCACCGUGCUCGUCUACAUCCAGGACAACGUCGGCAG
This 602-nucleotide long non-coding RNA is filed under the name Selaginella moellendorffii. Its description in RNAcentral is "long non-coding RNA (SMOE_LNC001800)". The record is from RNAcentral. Lineage: Eukaryota; Viridiplantae; Streptophyta; Lycopodiopsida; Selaginellales; Selaginellaceae.